AGAUGUGAGGUCAAUCUGGCUGCAACAUCUGUCACCCCAUUGAUCACCAGGGUUGAUUUGGCUGAUCUGGCUAGGUAGGUAGGUGUCCCCUUCCUCCCUCACUACUCCAUGUGCAUCCCUCCCACAGCUGCAUGCUCAGUGGAAGAGGAUGACCACUCCAAUUAAGGAGGACCAAAACAUGUGCAC
This 186-nucleotide small nuclear RNA is filed under the name Heterocephalus glaber (naked mole-rat). RNAcentral describes it as "7SK RNA". It matches the Rfam family "7SK RNA", at positions 1 to 187 of the family's 331-position model. Rfam says of the family: 7SK was discovered as an abundant small nuclear RNA in the mid-70s but a possible function has only recently been suggested. Two independent studies have found that 7SK RNA binds the CDK9/cyclin T complex (known as elongation factor P-TEFb). P-TEFb activates transcription by phosphorylating the C-terminal domain of RNA polymerase II. Lineage: Eukaryota; Metazoa; Chordata; Mammalia; Rodentia; Bathyergidae. The record is from Rfam by way of RNAcentral.